UCGUGGCGGAAGAGCGUAGGGGAAACGAGGAGUGGUAGCAGGAGGUGGGCCAACACUUCCUCUCUGCCAUGAAGCCAUGAAGGGGCGAGCGCAGCACACGAGACGGUGCCUGGCGUAGAAACCACCCUUUCUACCGGCAAAAGAGGGUGGUUUCAAGUAGCCAGCGCCAUUUUCUUUUUUUUUAUCGUCACUCACUCCGGUGACCACCAGGGGAAGGAGCAGCGCCAGCGGUUUAUGGUGACGUCAACCGCACACUUUGAACGUAUGCUGGCGCUGGUGAGCUGACGAGUCAUUCUGCAAGUGGCAUUUGAGCGAGUGAACGCCAUAAGCAGCGCUCAAAAGGCAGCAGUCAUGUCUGGUCAAGGCGUAUCGGCUGUGGAACAGCCAUCGGUCUCGUCUGUUCAAAGCGACGAAGCGUCUGCUCUAUCGCCAGCUGAAGAGGGGAUGUUGAAGUCAUCGGUCGUGCCUGGUGAAAUUGAACAAGUAGCAUUGCCUGCCAAAGAAGAUAUGUUAAAGCCAUCCGUCGUGCCUGGUCAAGAGGACCAUGCGUCUGAAUCUUCACCUGCCAAAGAAGACCGUAUGUUAAAGCCAUCGGUCAUUUCCGGUGAAGAAGACCAUGCGUCUGACGCAUCGCCUAUCAAAGAAAUGUCGAAGCCAUUGGCCGUGUCUGGUGAAGAUGAUCAAGGAUAUAAUGCAUUGCCUGCAAAAGAAGGGAUGGUAAAGUCAUCGGUCGUGCCUGAUGCAUCACCUGCCAAAGAAGGACAGAUGUUAAAUGCAUUGGUAGUUUCCCGUCAAGAUGGCCACGCGUCUUACUCAUCCGCUGCCAAAGAAGAGGAGGUGGUAAAGCCAUCGGGCGCGUCAUGUCAAAUUGAUCAAGCGCCCGACGCAUCACCUGGCAUAACGAAGGAUAUACGGAAGAUGGGCCUUCUUUUGCAUUGUGACCCAAAUGGGAGUCCGUACGAGUGCUCGGAUUUUCUCGAAUCAAUCGCAAAACUUGGACUUUACCAUGAGGUCGCAGCUAUAGGACCGCAGCUCUACAGAAAGGUAUGGCUGGUUAAAUUGAAGACAACUGAGGCCCUGAGAGCCCUCGUAACCACCGGGAGUAUGCGAGUGAAAGGAUACUACUGCGCUAUCGUUGACCCCGAUGUGCCCGAGGUUUCGAUGAGGGUUCAUUGGGUGCCGUUUCAUAUCUCCAAUGCAUCUCUAGGUGAAGCGCUUCAAGAGUUUGGCACUGUUAAAGAGGUGAGCUGUUACAUGUGGUCUUGGGAUGAGGGUAUAGCCAAUACGCAUACCCGUUACGUUCGCCUGUGCCUCAAAGAAGGGUUGCAAGUGAAAGAUCUGCCCUACCUGUGGCACUGCCAGGAUGAAGAGCUUCUCAUCGUCAUCCCAGGGCGACCGCCAAUGUGCCUGAAGUGCAGCACGAUAGGUCACUUCAGGCGUUACUGUAAAGUGCCGCAAUGUCGCACGUGUAAGAAGUACGGCCACAAGAAGUGCAAACGUUUAUGUCACCCUGAGACCGGUAAUGUCCAAAGGAAUGAAACCGUGCACAUGAAACCAGUAAAAAUGCCAGUCACCCCUGCUGCGGAGCCUGUAAUUGACGACGAAAGUGAGAGGCAGCAAGGAACAGCACCAGCCGCCAAAGAAACCACGGAACAGCCCCACAAAGCAUUGACUGAGGAUGAGCCUGUGACCGGCAAUGUCCAAGUGAACAAAAACGUGCCCACGAAACCAGGAGCAAUGCUGGUGACCCCUACUGCAUUGCGUGAAAUUGAGCAGGGAAGUGAAAACCAGCAAGGAACGCCACCAGUCCCCAAAGAAAAGGCAGAGUGCUCUCAUGAAGUCUUGACUGGCGAUGAACCUUUGACCUGUAAUUCCCAUGUCGACGAAAACGUAUCCACGAAGCCACAAGAAACGCUGUUGCCCCCGACUUCUUUGUGUGUAACUGAGCAUGGAAGUGAGAGCCAGCAAGGAACACCACCAGUCGCCAAGGAAACAACGGCUCAACUCCCGGACGAAGCCCUCGCUGAUUCCGAAACUGGUAGCACCGACUAGCUGUGGACAGAACGCGUCCUCAACAGGCGAGAUAACAGCGUCCACAACUUGACUCUAACGUGAAUUUUCCAUGGUAGUAAACGCAUGGUUGUGAUCGACGAUAUGAUGCGCUGCCGACACCAAAAUGUGGCCUUUUGGAACAUUCUUCACGUUACUCGAACUUGACGUUGGGGAACUCUGCAGUAAACGAAGCAGUUUCAUGUGUUGCACAUUCCAGAGAAGACAAAUAUUUGCUUUUGGGAUUAUUUGUGUACUGCUGGGUCAAGAGUGACCAACGGAUAAGAUGAAACUGGAGUCAACAAACCUACAACAAGCCUCUUCAAAGUCGUUGUUAAAGCUUCAUUUUAAAGCACCUUGUUAAAAUGCUCGUUACGUGUUUUUAGCGCCCCAUAGAAACCUCCGAAGGUUUGUGAAGGACAGACUGGUGAACACUACUUUAAACCCGUGAUUAUGGAAAUUUUAUAAACAAUAGGCUACAGUAAACCCGUGACUGCGCAGACUUCAGAAACUGUGGACGAAUUUAAACCUGUGAUGACGACACCCGUCUGUGUGUCAUGUUUUUUUUUUCAUUCCAAGGCUUGCCUUGUGGCUCAAAACUGGUGAAACGUGAUUGUUAUAUGUACAUAACAGAGGGGGGGGGGGGGUGCAUAUGUGCAAUAACGGCACACAGGUGUAGGGUGGAAAAAGUGUGACAGUGGCUUAUCCGGCUUUUGGCUAUACGCAAAGGGUAACUGACACAAUGUGGUCAAAUUGGAUCUACCAAGUUAUUUUUGAGAUCGUCUUUUUCUCUGAAAUCCCGUAGCGAGCCCAAAGAUCCUCACGCCAUACCCUUCUGCCACUUCGAAGAGAGAUGUUCCUCGUUUAUAUUUGUGUUAUUACUGCAUGAAAUGUGUGUUUGAUGUGUUUGUUGCUACUUUGUCUAAUUCUUUAUAUGCUACGUGGUGUUCGUGGGCGUGUGAGUAUGUGUAUCCUUGCGACAAAUGACAAGCGGUAGCGCACAGGACUGUCAAGUGUCAUUGAAUAGAUAGCGAAAUGAGUGUCUGUGAGUGUGUUCUGUAGCGCGCUUGUGAAUAAAAGAGAAAAAAAAUCAAUAUGGUAGACCAAA
Molecule: long non-coding RNA, 3157 nt
Organism: Dermacentor albipictus
Lineage: Eukaryota; Metazoa; Arthropoda; Arachnida; Ixodida; Ixodidae
Source: RefSeq, a predicted model, not a curated record